This 301-nucleotide ribosomal RNA is filed under the name uncultured bacterium. RNAcentral's name for it is "partial 16S ribosomal RNA". It matches the Rfam family "Bacterial small subunit ribosomal RNA", at positions 509 to 807 of the family's 1533-position model. The record is from RNAcentral.
CAGUCGCCGCGGGAAUACGUAGGGCGCAAGCGUUAUCCGGAAUUAUUGGGCGCAAAGAGCUCGUAGGCGGUUUGUCGCGUCUGCUGUGAGAUCCCGAGGCUCAACCUCGGGCCUGCAGUGGGUACGGGCAGACUAGAGUGCGGUAGGGGAGAUUGGAAUUCCUGGUGUAGCGGUGGAAUGCGCAGAUAUCAGGAGGAACACCGAUGGCGAAGGCAGAUCUCUGGGCCGUAACUGACGCUGAGGAGCGAAAGGGUGGGGAGCAAACAGGCUUAGAUACCCCAGUAGUCCCUGUCUCUUAUAA